UACGUAGGUGGCAAGCGUUGUCCGGAAUUACUGGGCGUAAAGCGCACGUAGUCGGCUUUGCAAGUCGGGUGUGAAAUCCCCGGGCUCAACCUGGGAACUGCAUCCGAGACUGCAUUGCUAGAGUAUGGGAGAGGGAAGCGGAAUUUCUGGUGUAGCAGUGAAAUGCGUAGAUAUCAGAAGGAACAUCAGUGGCGAAGGCGGCUUCCUGGACCAAUACUGACGAUCAGGUGCGAAAGCGUGGGGAGCAAACAGG
RNAcentral lists this ribosomal RNA (253 nucleotides) under uncultured bacterium. Its description in RNAcentral is "partial 16S ribosomal RNA". It matches the Rfam family "Bacterial small subunit ribosomal RNA", at positions 524 to 776 of the family's 1533-position model. The record is from RNAcentral.